UUAUCGGAGAGUUUGAUCCUGGCUCAGGACGAACGCUGGCGGCGUGCCUAAUACAUGCAAGUCGAGCGGACAGAUGGGAGCUUGCUCCCUGAUGUUAGCGGCGGACGGGUGAGUAACACGUGGGUAACCUGCCUGUAAGACUGGGAUAACUCCGGGAAACCGGGGCUAAUACCGGAUGGUUGUUUGAACCGCAUGGUUCAAACAUAAAAGGUGGCUUCGGCUACCACUUACAGAUGGACCCGCGGCGCAUUAGCUAGUUGGUGAGGUAACGGCUCACCAAGGCAACGAUGCGUAGCCGACCUGAGAGGGUGAUCGACCACACUGGGACUGAGACACUACCAGACUCCUACGGGAGGCAGCAGUAGGGAAUCUUCCGCAAUGGACGAAAGUCUGACGGAGCAACGCCGCGUGAGUGAUGAAGGUUUUCGGAUCGUAAAGCUCUGUUGUUAGGGAAGAACAAGUACCGUUCGAAUAGGGCGGUACCUUGACGGUACCUAACCAGAAAGCCACGGCUAACUACGUGCCAGCAGCCGCGGUAAUACGUAGGUGGCAAGCGUUGUCCGGAAUUAUUGGGCGUAAAGGGCUCGCAGGCGGUUUCUUAAGUCUGAUGUGAAAGCCCCCGGCUCAACCGGGGAGGGUCAUUGGAAACUGGGGAACUUGAGUGCAGAAGAGGAGAGUGGAAUUCCACGUGUAGCGGUGAAAUGCGUAGAGAUGUGGAGGAACACCAGUGGCGAAGGCGACUCUCUGGUCUGUAACUGACGCUGAGGAGCGAAAGCGUGGGGAGCGAACAGGAUUAGAUACCCUGGUAGUCCACGCCGUAAACGAUGAGUGCUAAGUGUUAGGGGGUUUCCGCCCCUUAGUGCUGCAGCUAACGCAUUAAGCACUCCGCCUGGGGAGUACGGUCGCAAGACUGAAACUCAAAGGAAUUGACGGGGGGUACCGCACAAGCGGUGGAGCAUGUGGUUUAAUUCGAAGCAACGCGAAGAACCUUACCAGGUCUUGACAUCCUCUGACAAUCCUAGAGAUAGGACGUCCCCUUCGGGGGCAGAGUGACAGGUGGUGCAUGGUUGUCGUCAGCUCGUGUCGUGAGAUGUUGGGUUAAGUCCCGCAACGAGCGCAACCCUUGAUCUUAGUUGCCAGCAUUCAGUUGGGCACUCUAAGGUGACUGCCGGUGACAAACCGGAGGAAGGUGGGGAUGACGUCAAAUCAUCAUGCCCCUUAUGACCUGGGCUACACACGUGCUACAAUGGACAGAACAAAGGGCAGCGAAACCGCGAGGUUAAGCCAAUCCCACAAAUCUGUUCUCAGUUCGGAUCGCAGUCUGCAACUCGACUGCGUGAAGCUGGAAUCGCUAGUAAUCGCGGAUCAGCAUGCCGCGGUGAAUACGUUCCCGGCCUUGUACACACCGCCCGUCACACCACGAGAGUUUGUAACACCCGAAGUCGGUGAGGUAACCUUUUAGGAGCCAGCCGCCGAAGGUGGGACAGAUGAUUGGGGUGAAGUCGUAACAAGGUAGCCGUAUCGGAAGGUGCGGCUGGAUCACCUCCUUU
Molecule: ribosomal RNA, 1550 nt
Filed under: Bacillus subtilis
Lineage: Bacteria; Bacillati; Bacillota; Bacilli; Caryophanales; Bacillaceae
Description: bacterial SSU rRNA
Rfam family: Bacterial small subunit ribosomal RNA
Source: RNAcentral